Molecule: ribosomal RNA, 404 nt
Filed under: uncultured bacterium
Lineage: Bacteria
Description: bacterial SSU rRNA
Rfam family: Bacterial small subunit ribosomal RNA
Source: RNAcentral
GUUUGAUCCUGGCUCAGAUUGAACGCUGGCGGCAUGCUUUACACAUGCAAGUCGAACGGUAACAGGGAGCUUGCUCCGCUGACGAGUGGCGAACGGGUGAGUAAUGCAUCGGAACGUACCCAGUCGUGGGGGAUAACGUAGCGAAAGUUACGCUAAUACCGCAUACGUCCUGAGGGAGAAAGCGGGGGACCGUAAGGCCUCGCGCGAUUGGAGCGGCCGAUGUCGGAUUAGCUAGUUGGUAGGGUAAAGGCCUACCAAGGCGACGAUCCGUAGCGGGUCUGAGAGGAUGAUCCGCCACACUGGGACUGAGACACGGCCCAGACUCCUACGGGAGGCAGCAGUGGGGAAUUUUGGACAAUGGGCGAAAGCCUGAUCCAGCCAUGCCGCGUGAGUGAAGAAGGCCU